AGCCAAUGGGGCGAAGCUACCAUCUGUGGGAUUAUGACUGAGCGCCUCUAAGUCAGAAUCACGAGCUCGGAGA
Molecule: non-coding RNA, 73 nt
Organism: Peromyscus maniculatus bairdii (prairie deer mouse)
Lineage: Eukaryota; Metazoa; Chordata; Mammalia; Rodentia; Cricetidae
Source: RefSeq, a predicted model, not a curated record